This is a long non-coding RNA of Cygnus olor (mute swan), 764 nucleotides long. RefSeq lists it as uncharacterized. The transcript has 3 exons. The record is from RefSeq and is a predicted model, not a curated record. Lineage: Eukaryota; Metazoa; Chordata; Aves; Anseriformes; Anatidae.
UUCCCCUCCCUUGCUCUCUGUUGCAUUAAUAGCAGAGAUGGCAUUAAAGUAACUUUAUCUCCUUGGUGCACACAUACACAAACUCAAUGGCGGGUAGUGUUAUGAGGCUUAUUGCCGAGUGCGUAAUGACUGCUUCUUUUUUGGAUGAAUGAAUUCAGUGGAUGACAGGCUAAGCUAAUUACACUGGCAUGGAAGCAGGGCCCACGGGAGAGAGAUUGUCCAGCCUUUCUCUGGACACCAUGUGAGGAAGGCCAUGCAAACCCUCCAGCUUUGCCCAUCCAGGACUGCAUGGCCUCAGGUAUGUAGGAGAGGUAGCAGGGUGCUUUCUGGUGGUGCAGACACAGACUCCGUUGCUUCAGGUGAGCCUCAUGAAAUCCCACUUGCAGGGGGAAGUUCUGCAAAACAGGAGCUGGGGCUUGGAGAGACUGCAGCUGGCAGCCAUGGGAACAUUUAGACCUUUGUCUUCCGUCAGGGUGAGUUUAGGCACUAGACUUGAGAAAGCAGAGAAAAGCUGACAAUGUGUAGCAUGGUGCCUUGGGGUUUGGUACUGCACACAGUUAGAGCAGCCAGAGCAUGGGCUCACUGGGCACCCUGAGGACACCUUGCCUCGUUGCCACACAGGUCAAGGAGGGAGACCGAGCCGCCAAAGCUGGCUGUGGCCCUGAGAAAAGCCAAUCAAGACAGGCUGCAUUGUGCCAUGAUGCGGUGACCGAGCACAGGGAGCAGGCUGGGGACAGCUGCCAGCAGCCGGGGUUAAAGGCAGC